Molecule: transfer RNA, 91 nt
Filed under: Erysipelotrichaceae bacterium
Lineage: Bacteria; Bacillati; Bacillota; Erysipelotrichia; Erysipelotrichales; Erysipelotrichaceae
Description: tRNA-Ser
Rfam family: tRNA
About the family: Transfer RNA (tRNA) molecules are approximately 80 nucleotides in length. Their secondary structure includes four short double-helical elements and three loops (D, anti-codon, and T loops).
Source: RNAcentral
GCAGUGGUAUCGAAGUGGUCAUAACGAGAACGACUCGAAAUCGUUUUGUCGCUAACGCGGCACCUGGGUUCGAAUCCCAGCCACUGCGCCA